Molecule: ribosomal RNA, 497 nt
Filed under: uncultured bacterium
Lineage: Bacteria
Description: partial 16S ribosomal RNA
Rfam family: Bacterial small subunit ribosomal RNA
Source: RNAcentral
GAUGAACGCUGGCGGCGUGCCUAAUACAUGCAAGUCGAGCGAACGGACGAGAAGCUUGCUUCUCUGAUGUUAGCGGCGGACGGGUGAGUAACACGUGGAUAACCUACCUAUAAGACUGGGAUAACUUCGGGAAACCGGAGCUAAUACCGGAUAAUAUUUUGAACCGCAUGGUUCAAAAGUGAAAGACGGUCUUGCUGUCACUUAUAGAUGGAUCCGCGCUGCAUUAGCUAGUUGGUAAGGUAACGGCUUACCAAGGCAACGAUGCAUAGCCGACCUGAGAGGGUGAUCGGCCACACUGGAACGGAGACACGGUCCGGACUCCUACGGGAGGCAGCAGUAGGGAAUCUUCCGCAAUGGGCGAAAGCCUGACGGAGCAACGCCGCGUGAGUGAUGAAGGUCUUCGGAUCGUAAAACUCUGUUAUUAGGGAAGAACAUAUGUGUAAGUAACUGUGCACAUCUUGACGGUACCUAAUCAGAAAGCCACGGCUAACUACGUG